GAUGAAGAACGUAGCGAAAUGCGAUAAGUAAUGCGAAUUGCAGAAUUCCAGUGAGUCAUCGAAUCUUUGAACGCACAUUGCGCCCAUUGGUAUUCCGAUGGGCAUGCCUGUUCGAGCGUCAUUAUCAACCCUCAAGCCCCUUUGGCUUGGUGUUGGACGGUUUGGUGGAGGCCCCCUCGGGGGCUCCUGCCCCUCCCAAAGACAAUGACGGCGGCCUCGUUGGACCCCCGGUACACUGAGUUCUUCACGGGACACGUAUCGGACACAUGGGUUUACGGGACACGGUCUGCCUCCCCUCAGGGAGAAUCUUUCUAAGGUUGACCUCGGAUCAGGUAGGGAUACCCGCUGAACUUAAGCAUAUCAAUAAGCGGAGGA
Molecule: unclassified non-coding RNA, 375 nt
Filed under: soil metagenome
Description: partial contains 5.8S ribosomal RNA, internal transcribed spacer 2, and large subunit ribosomal RNA
Rfam family: 5.8S ribosomal RNA (bases 1-121)
Source: RNAcentral